GCAAACUUGGUCAUUUAGAGGAAGUAAAAGUCGUAACAAGGUUUCCGUAGGUGAACCUGCGGAAGGAUCAUUACCGAGUUAGGGUCUCACCGGCCCGAUCUCCCAACCCUUGUGUUUAACUAAAACCACGUUGCUUCGGCGAGCCCGUUCCUCCCUGGAGGAACCGCCGGACUUGAUUUCUCAGGUCUGGCCCGCGCCCGUCGGUGGCCAACCACAAAACUCUUGAUGAAAUGUGUCGUCUGAGUCUAUAACCAAAAUUUAAAAACAAAACUUUCAACAACGGAUCUCUUGGUUCUGGCAUCGAUGAAGAACGCAGC
Molecule: unclassified non-coding RNA, 317 nt
Filed under: uncultured fungus
Lineage: Eukaryota; Fungi
Description: partial contains small subunit ribosomal RNA, internal transcribed spacer 1, and 5.8S ribosomal RNA
Rfam family: Eukaryotic small subunit ribosomal RNA (bases 1-73)
Source: RNAcentral